GCCGCGGUUUCGGGGAAGAGACCGGGGUUGAGCAUAUUGCCCAUCUCAGCGUGACUUCCGCCGGCGUUGAGAGCGUUUUCGGGGUCCGAGUUGAGGAGCAAAACCAAGUGGAGGAAACUUCACUAAGUUCAGGGUGACAAGGGAGGAAGUGCAGAGCCCUCAGGAGGAGCCAGGAACAUCAGGUGCUUUCCACCACUGAACUGUUCCCCAAACUUGCACAUUCCUGAACUGCACUUUAAAUUCUGGAUGACAGACCUAUCAGGACUGAGUGGACCUUUGAGUGACAAGAUGGGGGGUGUUCCAAAGAGACCAUGGCAGCCUGCAGCUAGGACUUUAUCUUUAAUGCAAGUGGUGAUGCUGUGAUAUCUAGUGCUUUAAACAAAUCUCUUUUUUUAAGUGACAGGGUUUCCAAAUUGUUAUAUCUACUUUGUUUAACAGAUCAAUAGGGACAAAAAGUUGAUUCACUUGGUCUAAUGUGGUAGGAAUAGGUGAAAUACUAAGAUUGGGUCCUACACUCUACUUGCCAUCAGGCACCCAUUCUUAUGAAUAGAGAUUCCAUAGGGGCCACAGACAAUCCCAGUACUUUUUUCCCAGUUAAUUGAGAAAAUUAAAGCCAUCAUACAAUAUGUAACUUCCUCCCUCUCCACUUCUGUCAGUGCCACAUAUAUCCACCUGUCUUAUUUGUCUGUCUCAGAAAAUGUAACGUACUUCCUCCACCAAUGUAUGACUACUGUUUCUUGUUCUAGACCUCUUUUCUGCAUUUGGUGUCAUUAAUCAAACCCUCCUUGAAACUCCUUUUGCAUUUCUCCCAUCUUUUUCUACCUGUCUCAUGCUUCUUGGGUUUUUUUUUUUUCUCUGCCUACCCAUUAAAUAGUAUUUCCCAAAGUUCCAACCUUGAGUUGUUUUCUGUCUGUGUCUUCCCUGUGAGGACUAUCCACUCAUUGUUUUAACCUAUUUGCUCAUGGAUUCUAAAACUACUGCUAUUCCUAACCUCUUCCUUGAAGUUCAGACAUUUGGGAGGCUCACGAGCCCUUCAAACUCUAAUUUGUCCUUUGCUUUCAUUUGUACUCCCAAUUCUAUCUCAUCUCACUGCCUCCAGCUGUAACUACUACAACCCCCACCUACACCACCAAAUCCAUCUUGUAAGUAGCAGCCAGAAUGACCAGUCUCAAAUGUAAAUCUAUUUCACUUGCCUCCUUAAAUUUCUGAUCUCCCUCCACAGUCACGUUCAAGAUAGUCCGCCUCCAUGGCCUGGUGUGCUAGAGUCUUCAUCAUCUUGCCACUCUUUUCCUUCCCAGUCUUGUUUCCCUUUCCAGUACCAUCUCCCAUCCUACCCACUUCACAUUCAUGAGGCUGCUUUACACCUGAGACCUUUCACAUUCUGGUUGACUUUGUCUGGACUGUCUUUAUUUUCUUUGGCUGACUCUUCCGUAUCCUUACUAAUUUUUUAGGGUUCUUCCAAGAAGCCGUUCCUUAUUCCAUAGUCUGAGUUAGUUGACUUUUCUCUGCUUUCUUGACAUUCAUGGAUUCAUUCAGAAAAUAUUCACUGAACCCUUAUUUUAUGCUAGAUACUAAGCUAGAUACUGGAAAUAUAAUAAUGAAAAAGCAAAUAUGGCAAUAACCGAUCUAAUAAUUUCCUGACAGAGUUUACAUUCUCAUCGGGAAAAAAAGAAAAAAAAAAAAAAUCAGUUCAGUCUUACUGGCUCCAUGCUUGAGAA
Molecule: long non-coding RNA, 1718 nt
Organism: Rhinopithecus roxellana (golden snub-nosed monkey)
Lineage: Eukaryota; Metazoa; Chordata; Mammalia; Primates; Cercopithecidae
Exons: 3
Source: RefSeq, a predicted model, not a curated record